UCGAAAUACCACGGCUUAUCAUCAUUGACUUCUUCAACAGCAAACACAUGAGCUGGUCUAUCAAGAUGCAUCACAGUUAAAUUGGGAACUUCAUUCUAGAAUUUCACCAUAAUCAUUGAAGCCAACGUUGCAAGAGCAUCUGCCAUCCGGUUUUCAUCUCGAGGGAUAUGAUAAAACUCAACCUUUGUAAAGAAAGUUGAAAUCCUCCUCGCAUAAUCUCUAUAUGGUACCAAAACGGGUCGAUUCGUC
This 249-nucleotide long non-coding RNA is filed under the name Lathyrus oleraceus (garden pea). RNAcentral describes it as "Pisum sativum (pea) long non-coding RNA (PSAT_LNC026235)". The record is from RNAcentral. Lineage: Eukaryota; Viridiplantae; Streptophyta; Magnoliopsida; Fabales; Fabaceae.